AAAUUCACCUGGCAGGGAGACACCAUGAUCACGAAGGUGGUUUCCCAGGGCGGAGGCUUAUCAGGAUGCGCUGACCCCUGCGAUUUCCCCAAAUGUGGGAAACAAGAUGACAUAAUUAGUGGUCGAGAGGGACUGCGUUCACUUUCCCCUG
Molecule: small nuclear RNA, 151 nt
Filed under: Mesocricetus auratus (golden hamster)
Lineage: Eukaryota; Metazoa; Chordata; Mammalia; Rodentia; Cricetidae
Description: U1 spliceosomal RNA
Rfam family: U1 spliceosomal RNA
About the family: U1 is a small nuclear RNA (snRNA) component of the spliceosome (involved in pre-mRNA splicing). Its 5' end forms complementary base pairs with the 5' splice junction, thus defining the 5' donor site of an intron.
Source: Rfam by way of RNAcentral